CAGUAGCCGCGGUAAUACAGAGGGUGCGAGCGUUAAUCGGAUUUACUGGGCGUAAAGCGUGCGUAGGCGGCUUCUUAAGUCGGAUGUGAAAUCCCUGAGCUUAACUUAGGAAUUGCAUUCGAUACUGGGAAGCUAGAGUAUGGGAGAGGAUGGUAGAAUUCCAGGUGUAGCGGUGAAAUGCGUAGAGAUCUGGAGGAAUACCGGUGGCGAAGGCGGCCCCCUGGACAAAGACUGACGCUCAGGUGCGAAAGCGUGGGGAGCAAACAGGAUUAGAUACCCGCGUAGUCCCUGUCUCUUAUAA
Molecule: ribosomal RNA, 301 nt
Filed under: uncultured bacterium
Lineage: Bacteria
Description: partial 16S ribosomal RNA
Rfam family: Bacterial small subunit ribosomal RNA
Source: RNAcentral